UGAUAUUCCACAAAAUGGAAUUAGACCCUUUCUCUACCACCUCAGAAAUGUUGGAAAAGUCAACUCUACUUGUGGGGAUGGAAGACGACCGUAUACCCUCCUGCUAAACAGGGAAUUCCAACCUACAGAAUAAAGGCAGACAGAACUUAACAGUGGAUGAAACAGCACUGGCUCCUGAUUGUGGGGAUCUUUAACACAUAAAGGCGUUCUAAAUAACUGCAGACAAAUACAAAGGAACAAGCAGGUGACUGAAGUCAAGAUUUAACACACACAGUUUAAAGAUAAAACUGUUUGUAGAAUUUGUAUCUCAAACAUUAAACAUCCGCUGCAUUACCAUUAAUAAA
This is a long non-coding RNA of Pseudophryne corroboree (corroboree frog), 344 nucleotides long. RefSeq lists it as uncharacterized. The record is from RefSeq and is a predicted model, not a curated record. NCBI's taxonomy places the organism in Eukaryota, Metazoa, Chordata, Amphibia, Anura, Myobatrachidae. The transcript has 2 exons.